UGGAGGCAGCAGUGGGGAAUAUUGGGCAAUGGAGGCAACUCUGACCCAGCCAUGCCGCGUGCAGGAAGACGGUCCUCUGGAUUGUAAACUGCUUUUGAAUGGGAGGAAUGUGUGGCUUGCGAGCUAUAAUGACGGUACCAUUAGAAUGAGCCACGGCUAACUACGUGCCAGCAGCCGCGGUAAUACGUAGGUGGCGAGCGUUAUCCGGAUUUAUUGGGUUUAAAGGGUGCGUAGGCGGCUUAAUAAGUCGGUGGUCAAAAGUAGCAGCUUAACUGUUUUACAUGCCAUCGAUACUGUUGAGCUUGAGAUAUUUGGAGGCAGCUAGAAUUUCCGGUGUAGCGGUGAAAUGCAUAGAUACCGGAAGGAAUACCAAUUGCGAAGGCAGGUCGCUACGAAUAAACUGACGCUGAUGCACGAAAGCGUGGGGAUCAAACAGGAUUAGAUACCCCGGU
Molecule: ribosomal RNA, 452 nt
Filed under: uncultured bacterium
Lineage: Bacteria
Description: bacterial SSU rRNA
Rfam family: Bacterial small subunit ribosomal RNA
Source: RNAcentral